This 497-nucleotide ribosomal RNA is filed under the name uncultured bacterium. RNAcentral describes it as "partial 16S ribosomal RNA". It matches the Rfam family "Bacterial small subunit ribosomal RNA", at positions 28 to 507 of the family's 1533-position model. The record is from RNAcentral.
GAUGAACGCUGGCGGCGUGCCUAAUACAUGCAAGUCGAGCGAACGGAUGAGAAGCUUGCUUCUCUGAUGUUAGCGGCGGACGGGUGAGUAACACGUGGAUAACCUACCUAUAAGACUGGGAUAACUUCGGGAAACCGGAGCUAAUACCGGAUAAUAUUUUGAACCGCGUGGUUCAAAAGUGAAAGACGGUCUUGCUGUCACUUAUAGAUGGAUCCGCGCUGCAUUAGCUAGUUGGUAAGGUAACGGCUUACCAAGGCAACGAUGCAUAGCCGACCUGAGAGGGUGAUCGGCCACACUGGAACUGAGACACGGUCCAGACUCCUACGGGAGGCAGCAGUAGGGAAUCUUCCGCAAUGGGCGAAAGCCUGACGGAGCAACGCCGCGUGAGUGAUGAAGGUCUUCGGAUCGUAAAACUCUGUUAUUAGGGAAGAACAUAUGUGUAAGUAACUGUGCACAUCUUGACGGUACCUAAUCAGAAAGCCACGGCUAACUACGUG